CACGUAGGGGGCGAGCGUUGUCCGGAUUCAUUGGGCGUAAAGGGCGCGCAGGCGGCCCGGAAAGUCGGAUGUGAAAACUCGAGGCUCAACCUCGAGCGUGCACCCGAUACUGCCGGGCUUGAGGCAGGUAGGGGAGAUCGGAAUUCCUGGUGUAGCGGUGAAAUGCGCAGAUAUCGGGAAGAACACCCGUGGCGAAGGCGGCUCUCUGGAACGCAACUGACGCUGAGACGCGAAAGCGUGGGGAGCAAACAGG
This 253-nucleotide ribosomal RNA is filed under the name uncultured bacterium. RNAcentral describes it as "partial 16S ribosomal RNA". It matches the Rfam family "Bacterial small subunit ribosomal RNA", at positions 524 to 776 of the family's 1533-position model. The record is from RNAcentral.